GACCUUAUGGUGUAAUGUUAUCACAUCUGACUCCAGAUCAGAAGUUAUGGGUUCGAUUCCCAUUGAGGUCC
Actinia tenebrosa (Australian red waratah sea anemone) is the source of this 71-nucleotide non-coding RNA. The record is from the annotation of a RefSeq genome assembly. NCBI's taxonomy places the organism in Eukaryota, Metazoa, Cnidaria, Anthozoa, Actiniaria, Actiniidae.